GUGUCAGCAGCCGCGGUAAUACGUAGGGUGCGAGCGUUAAUCGGAAUUACUGGGCGUAAAGCGUGCGCAGGCGGUUCGCUGUGUCCUGUGUGAAAGCCCCGGGCUUAACCUGGGAAUGGCAUGGGAAACUGGCGAGCUUGAGUGCGGCAGAGGGGGGUGGAAUUCCGCGUGUAGCAGUGAAAUGCGUAGAGAUGCGGAGGAACACCGAUGGCGAAGGCAGCCCCCUGGGUCGACACUGACGCUCAGGCACGAAAGCGUGGGGAGCAAACAGGAUUAGAAACCCGGGUAGUCC
Molecule: ribosomal RNA, 292 nt
Filed under: uncultured bacterium
Lineage: Bacteria
Description: partial 16S ribosomal RNA
Rfam family: Bacterial small subunit ribosomal RNA
Source: RNAcentral